GAUUUUCCCAUAGGUGGUGGAUUUGGUGAAUAGAUUUGACUCAGAGCUAUAGAAACUAAUCUAUUUAUCAAAAUGCCGUGUUUAGAUACGCACUAUUGGAAUUUCACUGGUCUCAUAGGCGCAUUUCUGAAUCUCUCCAUAGCUUAUUUGCUUCUAUGUACAUCUCUUUGUAUACAUCUCCUGUUGAGAUUUCUAGGGUUUCUAGGUUUACCUCUUCCAAAAUUUCACAAUGGACGUUUCGGUGUAUCAAACACUAUGAGGAAAUGCCUC
Molecule: long non-coding RNA, 270 nt
Organism: Arabidopsis thaliana (thale cress)
Lineage: Eukaryota; Viridiplantae; Streptophyta; Magnoliopsida; Brassicales; Brassicaceae
Product: other RNA
Exons: 1
Source: RefSeq